Molecule: ribosomal RNA, 836 nt
Filed under: Pseudarthrobacter sp.
Lineage: Bacteria; Bacillati; Actinomycetota; Actinomycetes; Micrococcales; Micrococcaceae
Description: bacterial SSU rRNA
Rfam family: Bacterial small subunit ribosomal RNA
Source: RNAcentral
CAUGCUCAGGAUGAACGCUGGCGGCGUGCUUAACACAUGCAAGUCGAACGAUGAUCCGGUGCUUGCACCGGUGAUUAGUGGCGAACGGGUGAGUAACACGUGAGUAACCUGCCCUUAACUCUGGGAUAAGCCUGGGAAACUGGGUCUAAUACCGGAUAUGACUCCUCAUCGCAUGGUGGGGGGUGGAAAGCUUUUUUGUGGUUUUGGAUGGACUCGCGGCCUAUCAGCUUGUUGGUGAGGUAAUGGCUCACCAAGGCGACGACGGGUAGCCGGCCUGAGAGGGUGACCGGCCACACUGGGACUGAGACACGGCCCAGACUCCUACGGGAGGCAGCAGUGGGGAAUAUUGCACAAUGGGCGCAAGCCUGAUGCAGCGACGCCGCGUGAGGGAUGACGGCCUUCGGGUUGUAAACCUCUUUCAGUAGGGAAGAAGCGAAAGUGACGGUACCUGCAGAAGAAGCGCCGGCUAACUACGUGCCAGCAGCCGCGGUAAUACGUAGGGCGCAAGCGUUAUCCGGAAUUAUUGGGCGUAAAGAGCUCGUAGGCGGUUUGUCGCGUCUGCCGUGAAAGUCCGGGGCUCAACUCCGGAUCUGCGGUGGGUACGGGCAGACUAGAGUGAUGUAGGGGAGACUGGAAUUCCUGGUGUAGCGGUGAAAUGCGCAGAUAUCAGGAGGAACACCGAUGGCGAAGGCAGGUCUCUGGGCAUUAACUGACGCUGAGGAGCGAAAGCAUGGGGAGCGAACAGGAUUAGAUACCCUGGUAGUCCAUGCCGUAAACGUUGGGCACUAGGUGUGGGGGACAUUCCACGUUUUCCGCGCCGUAGCUAACGCAUUAAG